AGAACGAACGCUGGCGGCAGGCUUAACACAUGCAAGUCGAACGAUGUAGCAAUACAUAGUGGCGCACGGGUGAGUAACACGUGGGAACAUGCCUUUCAGUUCAGGAUAACACCGGGAAACUGGUGCUAAUACUGGAUAUUCCCUCCGGGGGAAAGAUUUAUCGCUGAAAGAUUGGCCCGCGUUAGAUUAGGUAGUUGGUGGGGUAAUGGCCUACCAAGCCUACGAUCUAUAGCUGGUCUGAGAGGACGACCAGCCACACUGGAACUGAGACACGGUCCAGACUCCUACGGGAGGCAGCAGUGGGGAAUAUUGGACAAUGGGCGCAAGCCUGAUCCAGCCAUGCCGCGUGAGUGAUGAAGGCCUUAGGGUUGUAAAGCUCUUUUGUCAGGGAAGAUAAUGACGGUACCUGAAGAAUAAGCACCGGCUAACUUCGUGCCAGCAGCCGC
This 446-nucleotide ribosomal RNA is filed under the name uncultured bacterium. RNAcentral describes it as "SSU rRNA". It matches the Rfam family "Bacterial small subunit ribosomal RNA", at positions 26 to 518 of the family's 1533-position model. The record is from RNAcentral.